This 9680-nucleotide long non-coding RNA is filed under the name Medicago truncatula (barrel medic). RNAcentral's name for it is "long non-coding RNA (MTRU_LNC003807)". Lineage: Eukaryota; Viridiplantae; Streptophyta; Magnoliopsida; Fabales; Fabaceae. The record is from RNAcentral.
UCAGAACACUUGAAUUUGCCUUCAAAUCUGAAUUUGGUGAUUUUGAACAAUAUUCUCCCCUAACAUUGUAUCACUAAACAACCUAUAAUAUGUCCUCGUGAGUUUAGCUCGGUUAGUAAAAACAAUGCAUAAUAUAUGCAAGGUCCGAUAUUUGAAACCCGAUUACCAUAAAAAAAAAAUUAAAAAAAAAACUACAAUAUACAUAUGCAGAUAAUCCUCUUUCUAUUGUUAUGUGUUAGAUGAAUCAAAAGAGUCGAAUCUAAACACCUCGUGAUAAAACUUUUUAGAACACUCUUUAAUAGAGACACUCAAAUUCUAUGAGAGAGAGUCAAAUUCUCAACUUUUUUCCAACUAUUUGAGUACAUGUUUCUUCUUGUUAUGCCAUUCCCUGAAGAAAGAAAAAAUACACUCAAUAAUAUAAACUCAAAAUAAUAUCCCUCAUGUUGAGUUUUAAGCUUGUUACAAAAUUAAUUUGAUGAUAAACAAAACCAACUGACGUCAUAACUAAUGGAGAGGAGCAACCAAAGAAGUGGCAACAACCAAAGAAUCCACAACAACCGAAACGAGGAAAUAAUAUCAAACUAAAUCAUAGUCGAACACAAGAGUCAAUAAAAGGAGAAGAAACCAAAAAAAUUAAAUUCGACUUCAAUAAGAACUCUUCACAAAUAAAGUAAGAACUAUUUAUGAGGGUGGCAUUUAGAAUGCACAAAUAUAAGAUUUGUGCACCAUGCACAAGUUCAUUCUUUGUGGACAGCUGUCAGUCUAAAACCUGCUGUGAUAAAUGUAAUAAAAAAAUGAAACAUUAGUUUAAUAUCAAAUAUUGGUUUUAUUGCUUUUGUUGGAUGCACCUCCAUAGUUGAAUGAAACAAUACUGCUAAUAAUAAUCUAAACAUAGGAAGAAAAAAAAAACCAUAAUUCAAUUAGCACCGGAAUUCCAAUUAAAUUAAAUUAAUUUGCUAUCAUUUCAGAUUUGUAAUUUCUGUUUAAUUUUAAUUUAUAUUAGUAAAAGUUGUUUCUUCCAUCUUUGACGGUGAUACUGAGAAAAGAUUAAAAGAGAUGGUUUGUGUGACUCGGGCGAGUUGACUCAGAGCACAGAAACGAUAGAAAAAAACAACUCUUCGGCAGAUUCAUUCUUUCUUGUUUCACGUUUCUUUCAACCUGAACAACUAGGGUGACAUAGGUUGUUGGAUAAUGGCGGCCGAAAGUCGUGGUCAUCAAAUUCAUAUUUGCUUUCAUCUUGCCUUUCAAUUCUGAUCAAAACUAUGCAAUAAUCUCUAUAUUUCAUUGUGUAUUAUGUGAGAUCUUAUCGAUUCGUAUCACGGGUCGGGAAACCCGUUUCAGAUCCGUCGGAUGAAGAAGAUGAUAAUUCAUAAAUAAAGAAACAAUGUAAAUUAAAAGCCCAAAAAAACUUGCGCGUGUAGGUCCCAGAAUUCCAAAAUAAUUAAUUUUUUCAAUGCCCAAUAAAUAUCAAAUAUUAUUAUGAUCAUAUUGGUAUUUUUUUGGUUACAUGGGCAUAAGUUGGACGCUGAAUAACACCACUACACCAUGCAUUUUUAAUAUUUGCAAUUUUUUCUUUUUUUAGGGAAUAUAUUUGCGAUUUAUUAUUCUUUCUUUUUUGGUGAUUUUAUAUAUUAUUAUUCUACUUGGGGAUAAACUAUAUUUUAAAAUAGAGUCAUGAUAUCCCGAAACACCGGUUAAGAAGUCAAAUAUAGUAAUAUUUGCAUUAAAUGCUUAAAUAAUGACUCAAAAAGAGCAAUAUUUGCAUUUAAAGUUGUGUAAUCAAUGUAUUAAAUGCUUCCUCUUUUGAAUUCCUUAACCAGUAUCUUGGGAUGCUAGUUAACAUUACCCUUUAAAAUAUCAUAUUCUCGUUUUUUUUUUGUGGAAAAUUAUAAUCCCCUUGUUUUAAAAUACAUUUCGCAUAUUUUUAAUAUGCAUUGUUUGCAUGACUUACUUUGACGAUAAUUUGAAAAGGAACAUCAAAUAAAGUGCAACCCUAAUUGAAGGGAAAUAAUUGUGAAAUUUAGAAAAAUGAUGAAUUUGAAAAGGAAUAUCAAAUAAAAUCCAACCCUAGUAGAAUUAACAAAAUUGUGGAAAUUAGAAAAAUGAUGAAUUUAUAAAGAAAGAUGAAAUAAAGUCCAACACUAGUAGAAGGAACAAAAUUGUGGAAAUUUGAAAAAUGAUGAAUUUAAAAAGGAAGAUCAAAUAAAGUCUAACCCUAGUAGAAUUAACAAAAUUGUGGAAAUUAGAAAAAUGAUGAAUUUGAAAAGGAAGGGAAAAUAAAGUCCAACUCGAGUAGAAGGAACAAAAUUGUGGAAAUUUAAAAAAUGAUGAAUUUGAAAAGGAAGAUCAAAUAAAGUCUAACCCUAGUAGAAUUAACAAAAUUGUGGAAAUUAGAAAAAUGAUGAAUUUGAAAAGGAAGAGAAAAUAAAGUCCAACCCUAGUAGAAGGAACAAAAUUGUGGAAAUUUGAAAAAUGAUGAAUUUGAAAAGGAGGAUCAAAUAAAGUUCAACCCUAAUAGAAUUAACAAAAUUGUGGAAAUUAGAAAAAUGAUGAAUUUGAAAAGGAAGAGCAAAUAAACUCCAACCCUAGUAGAAGGAAUAAAAUUGUAGAAUUUAGAAAAAUGAUGAAUUUGAAAAGGAAGAUCAAAUAAAGUCCAGCCCAAGUAGAAAGAAUGAAAUUGUGAAAAAUAGAAAAAUGAUGAAUUUGAAAAUGAGGAUCAAAUAAAGUCCAACCCUAAUAAAAUGAAUAAAAUUGUGAAAAAUAGAAAAUGAUGAAUUUGAAAAUGAAGAUCUAAUAAAGUCUAUGGCAAGCAUUUUCACACCAUUGAGAGGUGGUUUUGGGUCAAUUAUUGACCUGAAAUCACUCAUCUUCAUCUUUUUCUCUCUAUUUCAAUCUAAAUAAGUGAUUUUCACAUAGAUCUAGGUUUUUUUCUUUGUGAUUUCAUCAUCUAAGUGUGGUGGUUUGUUGUUCGUCGUCUUGUGCGGCGUUGUUUGAUUUCCCGUCUUCGUACGGUGUUCAUUUGAUUCAUAUUGAAAGAUCGAUUAUUCAAUCAAAGAUUUGGGCGUCAACAUUGCAGAUCCGGAGGCCAUGAAUAUUCCGGUCACUUUAAUUUUAUCAUAAAUUUUUGUAGGCAUUAUGCCGUUAUAUGUUAUUAACUUUGAUGUUGUGAGUUUGUGCAGAUUCAUCCUUUACGUUUUUAGCGGUGUUGAAUGAUGUAAUCUCUCAAUUGAAUGAAUGAAUAUCAUUUUAUUUUUGAAAAAAAAAAAAAAAAACAUUUUCUUCAAAACAGAUUUUAAUGGUAAUUUAUCGUGCAUUAAUCACAUCAUAUACAUUUUGUAUAAAAAAAUCGAUCGUUUUUUUUAUGAUACAAAAUGUUUGCUUAUCACUCAACUAAAAAAUAAAUUCGUUUAAUUACAUUGAUCAUUUCAUUAAUUCUUCAGAUUUUUAACUAACAAAAUUUAUAUUCUUUGAGAUUUCAAUUAAAAUGAUUUAAACAAAAUUGGGCUCAAUACUACUACAUUAUGGGCUAACAAUACAAAUGAAAGUCCAAUACUUCCCUUAAAACCAGAAAAAUUAAAUAUUGCUAUCUAUUAAAAUGGUGGGGUCACUUUUAUUGGAGAUAAAGACAAAACACAAAGUCACAUGUAGGUAACAAGUCACAAGAUCUGGACCGUUUGUAUUUAAUAAUAAUAUAUCAACGGUGGACAUUCGUUUUCAGCAGCUUUUUGCAUAUCUUAUGUAUCAUGCACAAUUUUAUGCCUUGUGCAGGUUAAACGCCACCAUUUAUGAGCACUAUCUUAGCUCACUAAAUUAUUUAAAAGAAACAUCAUAGCAUGGUGCUUCACGUACACAUUAUAAGCAUUAUCUUGAUUCACCAAACAAAACAAAAAAAAACAUAAUGUGAUGCUUCAUAAACAAAUUAUGAGUAGUAUCUAGAUUCAUCAAAUAACCCAGAAAAAAAACACCUUAACAAAGUGUUUCACAAAGACACAAACGGUUGAAAUAGCUCUACCAAAACCAAUUUAAACCAAAGGAAAUCAAACAAUCAAUAUCAAACUAAACCAAUCAAAACUGAAUGAAAUCAAACUUGAAAAACCAAUGUAAACCAAAACUUACAAACGAACAUCUAAAAUUCUAAAUAAUCAACCUUGAUCAAACUACCACCGACAAACAAAACAUCAUUGCACUAGACCAAACAGUUGGGUCAGAAAUCAAGAACUGGACCCAAAAGUUAAACCAGGUCGCAAAAUAAUGGAUGGACAAAGAGAAUCUUUCCAAACCAUAAACAAGAAUUGCAGCUUCUGAAAUUCCUCUUUUUUUUUUUCCAAUUGUUUUGCAAACCAACUUAGCAAACAUGAGUAAAGAAACGAUUCAAACGAAUUAUCACAAACUUCAAGUCGACCAAUGAGAAAUAAGCAAAUAAAGAAUUAAAGAAGUCAUUCAACAUUUCUUUGCUCAAAUAAUACUUAAUGAUGAUAAUUCGGUAAAAUUAUUAUCUCUCCAUUCUAAAUUAUACUCCCUUCGUCCCUUAAUAAGUGACUUAUUUGACCAUUUCACACAAAUUAAGAAAAGUGUAAAGAUAAAAGAAAGAGAGUGAUAUUUUUUACUGAGUUGCCCUUGUCAUUAUUUUGAAACUUUUUCACUUUUAAGUAAUGAUUACUUUCUUUGUUCCACUACAAACUUUAACAUGGGGACCACAAAAAGUAUUUAUAAGGGAUAAAUCUGUCAAAUUUUGCUUAGAAAUCUGAGAAGGUCAAGUAUUGUGGGACAAAUAUUUUUUACAAAUAGGUCAUUUAUUAAGGGACGGAGGGAGUACUUCAUGAAGUAUAAAUCGUUUUGAAAAAGACAUUUUACGAUACAAAUAAAGCAAUAAUGAUGAUAUUUUUCUUAUUAUAUAUUUAAUUAUUUCUUAAUUUUUCUUUUUAAAUUCUUUAAUUUAUCUUUCUUAGUCAUAUGAAACGAUUAAAACCACCAAUCUCUACUUUUAUUGAGAGAAGACUAAUUUUAAAUUUGUCAGCAACACUGGAAAAAAAAGAAGAGUACAAGUGCUAGUAAUUUUAAACUUCGAAAAUUUUUACACCACAAUUUCCAAGAGUGGUCAACAUGUCAGCUCGUCAGUUGACUCACCAAAUUUUAGAUAGCCCCACCCCAAUGCCAUGUAUUCCCAAACAGGCCCCCACCUUCUCCAAUAAUGGAAGAGUUUUCGUAAUUUUUUUUAAAAGAAAAAAAUUCUAAAUGGUUUUAAUAGAAAAGUGUAUCCAAAUUGAUACGUUAGACCUCUAUCAACAAAAUAAAAAAAAAAUAUAUAUAUAUAUAACAAGUAAAAAUUUCAAACGGUCCGUUUUGAAACAGAUUGUAUAACCCUUGCUGAUGCCAUUCACACUACCUCCACUCACCUCAAUGAAGUUUGAGACAUUAUUUCUCAAUGCAGAGGUCUCUUGUUUACAAAUACCGACUUUAAAGUGUCGUAUAUUAGGAGGCAAGUUAAUAGGGUUGCUCAUAGUAUAGCUAGAGCUUCUUUAUCUCAUCCUAGCCCCCAUCUUUUUUAUAGUGUACCUUCAAAUUUGUACUCUUUGUUCUUGAAUGAAAUGCAUUAAUUUUGCCUUUGCUAAAAAAAAAAAAAAAACAAGUAAAAAAAACAUGUGAAAACACUUUUUUUAGAUGGUACUUAGCAUUUUGAGAAUUUCAAUCUUUUUAUAUUCUUUUAAUAAAAUUAGUUUGAAUAAUAAUAGUCAUUAGUUUAAAUACUUUUUUAUAAUAUUAAUAAUAUUCACAGAGUCUUUAUGGACUUCCCCUAACUUAAAUUAUAUUGAAUAAAAUGAAAAUUACAUACAAUGUAUGAGUUCUGCUUUCUUGACUUGAAAUUCAUUUAACUUUUUUAAAAUUUAAAAAAAUCGGUCAAAAUAAAAUCCUAGAAUUCAAGGUUUUACUUCUUUAAAUAAAUUCAUUUAAUUCAACAAAAAUUAGUCUUUAUCAAUAGAAGAUAUUCAUUUCAUAUGUUAAGUUUAGUUUAAUUGAAUUUCAAAGGUUUAACAUAGUGAGAACAUAUCUUCAUUCAAAAAAUUUAAAAAAAAAAUUCGAACAUGCCUCCAUGCCGAACGAACAUUAACAAAUGUGCUUAAGUAACAUCCACAAAAGAAUAUUUAGGGGGUGUAUUGAAUUGAGAUUUUAAAAAGAUUAUUUUGGCAAACAAAAUUCUACAGAUUUUAAAAGACUUUGUGAAAUUAUAUUGAUUUUAUAGGAUUUUAAAAGACUUUUUUUAAAUGACUUUUUACAAUCAGGAUUUUAAACACAAGAUUUUAAUGGAUUUAUAACACAUAUUUGCAAAAAUUUCAAUAGAGUUUAUGGAAUUUUUAAGAUUUGAGAGGAUCAUAUUCCCUCAAAAAAAAAAAGAUUUGAGAGGAUCACAUGGAAUCAUGGAUUCUUAAGAAAAAAUCAAAAUGACAAGAGUGAAUGAAAAAAAUUAUGAACUUAUAAUAUAGAAUUGACCAAUAAUAAUUAUAAUAAUAACUCGUUACUAAUAAAUAAUAACAAAACUUUGCACAGAGUGUAAGGUGUACUGACAACAACAAAACAAUCUCCUAAAAAAACAAAAACGAUAAAUUAGAAGAAAAAAUUGACUUAAAAGAAACAUACUCCCUCCGAUCACAGUAUUAUAAGCAAAAAUUAACUUUUUAGAUUCAUUCAUUAAAUGUUGUAUUUGGUCAAUAAUAUAAACUAAAUACAUCAUUUAAUAAAUGAAUCUAAAAAGUUGAUUUUUGCUUAUAAUAGUAAUCGGAGGGAGUCUAACUUAAAAAUCUGUAAUAUUUACGGAUGUAUAACUAAAAAGCAUGUAACGUGUAUAAGAAAAACAUUCGACAAUGAGAAGCAACAAGGAAAAGUUUCAAAUGUAUGGUGUACUGAACAAGGAAUAAUACAGUGAGGGUUUAUCAAUAAUAACAACAAGAAAAGGGGAUGAGUGUGGUAUGAGAUAAGAACAAAAUAAGAAUUAUGGAAGUCUCAAAAAGUCUCAAGAAUAUUUGUGAGAUUGUUGAAUGAGUACGUUAUGUGUAUUUUUAAUUAAAAAGUUUCACAAAAUUCACUCCUUAAAAGAAUUCAUUAAAAUCUGUAUAGACAUUUUACAAGUUAGUCGAAGUCUCAUUUGAAUACCACCAAAUUUCGUUCCCUGCAAUAAAGCUUUGAUUGUUUUGAUUGAACACCAUAAGAUUUAUUUAUAUUUUAUAAAAGUUUUAAUUGAAUAUCUCAAGACCUUUUUAUUUUUAAAAAUUCUUUUAUAAUCCCAUGAAAUCUCAAUUGAAUACACCAACGAAAGUUGCCCUCACAACCGUUCACAUAAGUUAUCUUCUUAUCAAUUGAGUCAACCUUCAUUAAAGAAAAAUAAAAUAUUUUAAAAUAGUACAAACAAAAUUCAUUGCAUCAAAGAGUAAAAAAUAAAAUCGUUAAAUAAAUUAAUUUUUUUCAUUAAAUUAAAUUGACAUUUAUACUAUAUAUACAAAGAAAAAUAUCCUUUCAGCACUUUUGGGUUGACUUUUUCUUUUCAAACAUACCCUCAAUUUUCAAUACAAAUAACACAUGUAACUUUUAAAUAUUAAAACAAAUAACAAACACGAUAUGAAAAAAUAUAUUUUUUUGUUUUUUUUCCUUUUUUUUUUUUGGUGAUGUCCGGUCCUCCGGGGUUCAAACCUCAGACCUUGCAUAUAUUAUGCAUUGUCCUUACCAACUGAGUUAAGCUCACAAAGGACUUGUCUUCCUUUAUCAUUUAAAAAGUGUAACAAACUAGAUGACUAUAUUUAUACUUACUUUUUCAUCAUUCCAAUUAUACCCUCAGUUACGAUGGGUGAAAUUGCUCGGAGGGGCUUUUAGACGAGAUAAAGGUUUUAUUGAGGGGUUAGCCAUGAAGAGAGCUUACAGGGCUGCUAAUUAAUACAUCUUCUUCCUCAGUUACGGAAUCCUCAGAGUUAGCUUCUUCUACUUCGAUCGUGCAUGGGUAUUGCCAAUCUUUUCUUUGGCUUAAGGACGUGCCAACCGAUUCACAUGGAGGAGGUGGCUAUGGUGUUUGAUAAAAAGUUGCGUGAAGCGGUUGAGGACAUUGUGGUUGGUGGAGGUCCUUUCUUUGGGGACCUUCAAUGGAUGUUGGCAUCUUUACCUAUUAGGUUUGGAGGGUUGAGUUUGUACUAAACAUUAUAGGCUUCCUCGUACACUUUUGUGGCUUCUAAGGCACAGUCUUGGGUCAUACAAGAUCAAAUUUUGAGAGACAGUGGGUUAUGUGGCAUGGACUUGGAUUUUGAUAAUGCUUUGGAUGGUCUUCGUGGUACGAUUCUAGAUUUUGAUGUUAGCAGUUUUACUAGCAAUGACACCAUCCCUCCUAAAGCACAACAUGUUUUUGCGAGUGCUCUUUUUAGUAAAAAUGUCAGGAUAUGGAAAUUAAGUUUGACAUGACCACGAGACAGAAGGCAAUUUUUGGAUGUUUGCAAGCAGAACAUGCUCAAGAUUUUCUUCUAGCUAUCCCGAUUGAUUGGUUAGGUCAACAUAUGUCACCAGUGGAGUAUCAUACUAUCCUUAGAUAUCGCCUUAUGAUUCCAUUAUUUCCUAAUGAUGUGGUGUGCCCUGUUUGCCGUAAUGUGUGACUGAAUACUUUUAGGGAGCAUGUCGUUCAUUGUAAUGAGUUUCCCGGAUUUAAGUACAUACAUGACUUUGUUAGGGAUGUACCUUUUGAUAUAUUUAGACGUGCGAGAAUAUCAGUGAAGAAGGAGGCGUCUGUGAACUUCCUGACUAACCCACUAGAUAGAAGAUCAACACUCAGGCCUGCAGAUGUUAUGGUGUACAGAUGGGUAGGUGGAAAACAUGCUUGUGUAGACUUGACUGGGGUUUCACUACUUGUGGGAUUAGGUGUCGGACCUUUUACCGUAGGAUAGGCAGCUCUAAAAUCCGCGUCAAACAAAGUGGCCAAACAUGAGAAAGUGUGUUCUGACAAUCAACAGGUUUUUAUACCAUUUGCUUUUGACACUUUCGGUUUCCUAGCACCAGAGGCGGUUGACCUUCUACAUAGAGUUCAAAAGGUCAUGCAUAGCAAUGUCAUGUCCUCUAAGUCCAUGAAUGUUGUGCUCAUGAGGAUUGAUUUUUCCAUCCAAAAAGGUCUAGCGGCGGAGCUUGUUGUCCGCUUGUCUUCUAUUUAAGUGUAAAUAAUGGUUUAUAUAUAUAAUAAACAAAAUUUUCCAACUGAUUAUACCUCUUAAACAACUUUUUCUAUAAUAAAAUUGUUGUUGGUGUCAUUAAAAAAGAAUUUAGAUUAUAUUAUUUUUGUUAUAUUGUAUUAUUGUCGGUGUCGUUGAAAUAGAUAACGAUGGUUAGUUUGAUUUUUUAUAAUUUGAAAGUAACUAACAUUUAUAUUCUUUUUAGUUUUAAUCAAAAUCAAAAUUUCAUAAAAAAAAAAAAAUUCGUUCAUAAUUUUCAAUAGUUGGCACAGAACGGAAAAAUCCGAGUGCCCGUUUUUUCACUGGUCAACGUUAAACAAAAAAAAAAAUUGUGCUAACGAGGAGGCCCACUAACCUGAAAUGAACGCUAGUAAUCCACUAACCGGGCCUUCUUCUAUAUAAUGUGGGGUCAUCAAAAUCAAUCCAACCCAUUUCUCUUUCUCUUACAGAACGACAACGCUCUUCGAUUCGAUUCUCAUCACUUUC